CCUACGGGUGGCAGCAGUGAGGAAUAUUGGUCAAUGGACGAGAGUCUGAACCAGCCACGUAGCGUGAAGGAUGACUGCCCUAUGGGUUGUAAACUUCGUUUAUAAAGGAAUAAAACGAGGCACGUGUGCCUGUUUGCAUGUACUUUAUGAAUAAGGAUCGGCUAACUCUGUGCCAGCAGCCGCGGUAAUACGGAGGUUCCGAGCGUUAUCCGGAAUUAGUGGGUUUAAAGGGAGCGUAGAUGGGUUGUUAAGUCAGUUGGGAAAGUUUGCGGCUCAAACGUAAAAUUGCAAUUGAUACUGGCAGUCUUGAGUACAGUUGAGGUAGGCGGAAUUCGUAGUGUAGCGGUGAAAUGCUUAGAUAUCACGAAGAACCCCGAUUGCGAAGGCAGCUUACUAAACUGUGACUGACACUGAUGCUCGAAAGUGUGGGUAUCAAACAGGAUUAGAUACCCUGGUAGUC
This 460-nucleotide ribosomal RNA is filed under the name uncultured bacterium. RNAcentral's name for it is "partial 16S ribosomal RNA". It matches the Rfam family "Bacterial small subunit ribosomal RNA", at positions 338 to 795 of the family's 1533-position model. The record is from RNAcentral.